Molecule: ribosomal RNA, 671 nt
Filed under: uncultured bacterium
Lineage: Bacteria
Description: bacterial SSU rRNA
Rfam family: Bacterial small subunit ribosomal RNA
Source: RNAcentral
AGUGGCGCACGGGUGCGUAACGCGUGGGGAUCUACCAUGGGGUGCGGAAUAACUCAGAGAAAUUUGAGCUAAUACCGCAUAAUGUCUUCGGACCAAAGAUUUAUCGCCCUUUGAUGAACCCGCGUAGGAUUAGCUUGUUGGUGAGGUAAGAGCUCACCAAGGCGACGAUCUUUAGCUGGUCUGAGAGGAUGAUCAGCCACACUGGGACUGAGACACGGCCCAGACUCCUACGGGAGGCAGCAGUGGGGAAUAUUGGACAAUGGGCGAAAGCCUGAUCCAGCAAUGCCGCGUGAGUGAUGAAGGCCUUAGGGUUGUAAAGCUCUUUUACCAGGGAUGAUAAUGACAGUACCUGGAGAAUAAGCUCCGGCUAACUCCGUGCCAGCAGCCGCGGUAAUACGGAGGGAGCUAGCGUUGUUCGGAAUUACUGGGCGUAAAGCGCGCGUAGGCGGUUACUCAAGUCAGAGGUGAAAGCCCGGAGCUCAACUCCGGAACUGCCUUUGAAACUAGGUGACUAGAAUCUUGGAGAGGCGAGUGGAAUUCCGAGUGUAGAGGUGAAAUUCGUAGAUAUUCGGAAGAACACCAGUGGCGAAGCGACUCGCUGGACAAGUAUUGACGCUGAGUGCGAAAGCGUGGGGAGCAACAGGAUUAGAUACCCUGGUAGUCCACGCCGA